UGGGGUGUGGCUCAGUGGUGGAGCGCUUUCCCUGCAUGCAUGGGUUCUGGCUUUGAUCCCCAGCACUGCCA
Molecule: transfer RNA, 71 nt
Filed under: Marmota monax (woodchuck)
Lineage: Eukaryota; Metazoa; Chordata; Mammalia; Rodentia; Sciuridae
Description: tRNA.Ala
Source: RNAcentral